RNAcentral lists this ribosomal RNA (484 nucleotides) under uncultured bacterium. RNAcentral describes it as "partial 16S ribosomal RNA". It matches the Rfam family "Bacterial small subunit ribosomal RNA", at positions 30 to 507 of the family's 1533-position model. The record is from RNAcentral.
AUUGAACGCUGGCGGCAGGCCUAACACAUGCAAGUCGAGCGGAAGAAGUGAGCUUGCUCCUGGAUUCAGCGGCGGACGGGUGAGUAAUGCCUAGGAAUCUGCCUGACAUGGCGGUAUAACGUCCGGAAACGGGCGCUAAUACCGCAUAUGUCCUGAGGGAGCAAGGGGGGUAUCUUCGGACCUCAGGCUAUCUGCUUAGCCUAGGUCGGAUUAGAUAGUUGGUGGGGUAAAGGCCUACCUAGGCGACGAUCCGUAACUGGUCUGAGAGGAUGGCCAGGCACACUGGAAUUGAGACGCGGUCCAGACUAAUAUGGGAGGCGGCAGUGGGGAAUGUUGGAUUGGGGACGGAGGGCUGACCCAAACAUGCCGAGUAGGGGAAGAAGGUCUUGGGAUUGUAAAGCUAUUUUGGUUGGGAGGAAGGACAGUGAGUUAAUAGCGUGCUGUAUUGAAGUUACCGAAAGAAUAAGCACCGGCUAACUUCGUG